AACUUUCAACAACGGAUCACUUGGCUCUCGCAUCGAUGAAGAACGCAUCGAAAUGCGAUAAGUAAUGUGAAUUGCAGAAUUCAGUGAAUCAUCGAAUCUUUGAACGCACCUUGCGCUCCUUGGUAUUCCGAGGAGCAUGCCUGUUUGAGUGUCAUUAAAUUCUCAACCUUAUCAGUUUAUUUCUGAUAGUGGCUUGGAUGUGGGGGUUUUCUUGCUGGCUGAGGUCAGCUCCCCUUAAAUGGAAUAGGCGGGGGCCCGUGUGGAAUUGUUUAUUGUGGUAUAAAUUACUUCGGCCAGGGAGGGCCUCCAACGGCAUGGCUUUUACCCUCCGGUAAAUCCGGCAAAACAAUGGCCAAUUGAACUUAAAAUAAGUUGGGCUUCCCGCUGAACUUAAGCAUAUCAAUAAGCGGAGGCU
This 415-nucleotide unclassified non-coding RNA is filed under the name uncultured Agaricomycetes. RNAcentral describes it as "sequence contains ITS2". The stretch from base 1 to 154 matches the Rfam family "5.8S ribosomal RNA". Lineage: Eukaryota; Fungi; Basidiomycota; Agaricomycetes. The record is from RNAcentral.